This 2366-nucleotide long non-coding RNA is filed under the name Dicentrarchus labrax (European seabass). Its description in RNAcentral is "lncRNA (ENSDLAG00005032721.1)". Lineage: Eukaryota; Metazoa; Chordata; Actinopteri; Moronidae. The record is from RNAcentral.
ACUCAUUACGCAAAUACACAUCACCUGGUAUGCUUAAAUCCAAUAAGCACUCAAGUUUAUACAGCUUGAAGUUGGAAAAUAUGCAUAAAAAUUAUGAUUUGGCCAAAAUACUCACUUGCCUAAUAAUUGUGCACACAGUGUAUACUCCAAAAGCAUAGGGGGCACCAUAUCACCAGAUCAUCAGGUCAUACCUGCUGCUAACUGCUGUUACAGCUUGUUAACACCACCUGUGUCUGCAUGGUGUGUGUGACAGCAGCUCUUUAGCAGCCAUGCUCUCGGUGUGAAUGCCACGCGUGUGGGAGACGCAGCCAUCAAGCCUGAGCAGCGCAUGACGUCUCCGGCAGCCUAUGUGAACGGGGUGUUAGCGGGGAAUGCUGGUGGGAGCCAGAAUGGGCACCAGAACCCGACUCAGCAGCCUCCCAGUGAACACAGACGAAAAGUUUGACCACGGGGAUUAGGCUACAGUACCAGGGUAAUUUACAGCCUCUCCGGCCAGGACUCUGACUGUGGGGACGGUGAAGACACAGAGGGUUAAAGCGGGGACAGAAGAGGCAGCACCAAACCAAAGUUGGUCAUUGUUGGAACAGUGGAAAUACUAACCGAAAUUAUUUUGAAUGAAGUCACUGAAUGAAGGCAAUUAAAAAAAGAAACAGAGAGAAACUUAUACAAUCGUGUACAAUCAGUUUUCUGUUUAGUAAGAAAAACAGGUGAACAAAUAUUUCCUUUCUAGACAUUUUGAGAAUUUAUGUUAUUUAUUUAUUAGAAUAAAAAAGCCCCUUUGCGCUAUCUCCUUAGCAAUGUAGGAGCCGCAUUUCGUCAAUCACAUGCAGCGGAUAAAUACUCCUCAGACAUUUUGCUCAUCCUCUUCCUCUGCUGGUGAGCUUUCUCCUUCCAGUUCAAGGGUUCAGAAUCAGAGUUACAGUUUGGUUUCCUCUGUUUGUAUUUCAUACGUACUCCACUGUUUAAUGGCCUUUGGUAUUGGUUAAAACUGGAGAUGAAGGUUGUUUUCCUGUGAACCUGCACUAACCGCAUAAUAAACCACAAAGAUAGAAGUCUGUGAGAGUAUGACUGCACAAAGGUGAAGGAGGAUGCCCUCAGUAGACUGCACUCAGAGUCUCUCAGGAAAUUGUAAGCCAGAAUUUUAAAGUUGUUUAUCACUGUUCACAUGAUGGUUCUACCAGCAUCAUUAUAUCUGUGUGUACAUUUAUUUCUUUAUUUUUUGGAAAAGCCCAUACAGAAUGUUUUAUUAAAAGUUUAACAUUUUGGAAACAACAGCACAUAUGAAAAGCUGAACAUGGUAAAAUGUGAACAACAGUUGUUGCUGAAAGCAUGUUCAAGUAGUAUCCUAGAAUAAUAAUAAUGAUAACAAUAAAAAGAAGAAAAAGAAGGAGGAAAGCAAUCACAGUGUGCGACAGUGAAUCUCUUCCAUGCAGAGGUAAACAUGUCUAUUUGUUCUUUGUUAUUGUAAUUUGGUUGUUUUUAAGUCAGUAUUUACCACAGCCACAGUAACAGUAAUGAGCUGCCCCAGGGCUACUGCUGGAAAGCAAAAGGACAAUGCUUCCCCCUAAUGGCAAACUGGAAGUAUUUUCAAUCUAAUAUAAACAAUAUGACUAAUGUAUCAUUAAUGACAUUAGCGUAUUUUCUUAUGUUGCCUUUACUCAAACCUACAAAACUUAAUGUUUAAGCAACCCAAAUUUUCAAAAAGAUAAGAUCUUCAAAAAUAUAAUUACAGUGAGAAAGUCUCUGAAUGUGUUCCACUGGUAAUUAGGGACAAACUCUUUCUUGUUGCUGCCAAUGCUUAUGCAUUGACUUUUUCUCAAGUCAGAGUACAUCUAACCUAAGAAAAUGUCACUGCAUUAAUCUUUUACUACUCUCAAAAUACAUAACCUAUAAUGCAGUUCUAAUACGCAAAAUGACUAUUUACAGUGUUGUUUCAGCCUUGGUUGGUUGGUUCAGAAUGAUUUGUGCACCGUUUAGACCUUUAAAAUGAACCAGCAUAUCAAUAGUUGGUACCAACAUUUUUUAAUAGUAGCUUAAUCCCCUGAUGUUGCUUGGCAUUAAAAAGUUACACCCAUGUUUAAUUAUAGACUAUAGAAUAGUGUCACAGUAUAUUCCUAAACAUAUGCUUCUUUCAUUGUGCAACAUUUUGAUGCACACAAUUUACAAUGUGAAACCAGCAGGCAAUGAGAUGCUAUGACAGUACUUCAACACUAGAUGAUGCCACAAGACAAAACACACUGAAGAGUGUUGGGGGCUAUUAUAACUUUGUCACCAGAAAACAAAGCAUGCAGCACUUGGGAAUAGUUGCUUUUAUAAAAUAUAAAAAUGUUGCUAUUCUGUGACUAAUUUUGUUUAUAUGUGUUUAA